CUUUACUGUAGCCUGGUAUUGGGUUCGGGCUUUGACUGCGCAGGAUAGGUGGGAGACUAUGAAGCUGCCCUUGUGGGGGCAGUGGAGUCAUCAGUGAGAUACCACUCUGUCAAGGCUAGAAUUCUAACCGUCUGCCGUUAUCCGGCGACGGAACAGUAUCAGGUGAGCAGUUUGACUGGGGCGGUCGCCUCCUAAAUGGUAACGGAGGCGCGCAAAGGUUCCCUCAGGCUGGUUGGAAAUCAGCCGAAGGGUGUAAAGGCAGAAGGGAGCUUGACUGCAAGAGCAACAACUCAAGCAGGGACGAAAGUCGGCCUUAGUGAUCCGACGGCGCUGAGUGGAAGGGCCGUCGCUCAACGGAUAAAAGUUG
RNAcentral lists this ribosomal RNA (367 nucleotides) under uncultured organism. Its description in RNAcentral is "bacterial LSU rRNA". It matches the Rfam family "Bacterial large subunit ribosomal RNA", at positions 2099 to 2464 of the family's 2925-position model. The record is from RNAcentral.